UACGUAGGGUGCAAGCGUUGUCUGGAAUUAUUGGGCGUAAAGAGCUCGUAGGCGGUCUGUCGCGUCGGCUGUGAAAACUCGGGGCUCAACCCCGAGCCUGCAGUCGAUACGGGCAGACUAGAGUGCUGUAGGGGAGACUGGAAUUCCUGGUGUAGCGGUGAAAUGCGCAGAUAUCAGGAGGAACACCGGUGGCGAAGGCGGGUCUCUGGGCAGUAACUGACGCUGAGGAGCGAAAAGCGUGGGGAGCGAACAGG
RNAcentral lists this ribosomal RNA (254 nucleotides) under uncultured bacterium. RNAcentral's name for it is "partial 16S ribosomal RNA". It matches the Rfam family "Bacterial small subunit ribosomal RNA", at positions 524 to 776 of the family's 1533-position model. The record is from RNAcentral.